This is a long non-coding RNA of Mobula hypostoma (lesser devil ray), 1106 nucleotides long. RefSeq lists it as uncharacterized. The transcript has 3 exons. NCBI's taxonomy places the organism in Eukaryota, Metazoa, Chordata, Chondrichthyes, Myliobatiformes, Myliobatidae. The record is from RefSeq and is a predicted model, not a curated record.
AAGCGGGUAGAUCACCCACACUGAGGGAAAAAAAACACUCAAAAAUUCCCGACCACUGUUGGAGAGAGGGUGUUAAUUCUUUUGGUGUAAGCCCUCGUUAGGAGGCUUAAUAUUAAUUAAUUUCCGACAUAUAUAAAGCAAUGCAGUCAAAAUGCUGGAGUAAUUCCGCAGGUCAGGCAGCAUCUAUCGAAAUGAAUAAACUGUCGACGUUUCGGGCCGAGACCCCUUCUCAGGACCAGAAAAGAUCGCUGCUGAGUUCCUCCAGCAGUUUUGUGCGUUGCUUUGGAUUUGCAGCAUCUGCAGAAUUUCUUGUCUCUAUUAUACUGUAAAAGGCGUUUUCCUGGUUAAGGCCGGGAAACGAGAUUCAUCCCGGCGUGCUGGCUGGAGUUGAUGCGAUUACCUCAGGAAGGACGAGCUUCUGGCCGGCAGCCCGGUUCCCAUGAAUGAUGAAAAGACAGGGAGGUUGCAGGCGGUGCCGCUGUCGAGCUGAAGGGGAGGGAGGGGGAACGCCUCGACCGUGAAAACAACAGAGAAAGAAGAUAUAUCCACUCUUGCCAAUUUUUAUUGAUGCACCAUAGAAGGCAUCAAAGACACAUCAAAGCUUGGAUUGAAAAAGGUUGCUGCACGCUCAUCCAGCUCCAUCAUGGGCACCAUUCUUCCCACCAUCAAGGACACCUUCUAAAACCAGUGCCUCAGGAAGGUGGCAUAUAUCAUUAAGGAACAUCACCGUCCAGGAAGACAUAUCCUCUUCUCAUUACUACCAUCAGGGAGGAGGUACACGAGCCUGAUGACACACACUCAACAUUUUAGGAACAGCUUCUUCCCCAAUGCCACUGGACUUCUGAAUGGUUCACGAACGCAACCUCACUAAUUUGCUCUUUUUGCAUUAGUUAUUUAAUAUAAUUUCUUUUUGUAGUUUGUAUUAAUUUUAAAAUAUAUUGCUCUGUACUACUGCCAUAAAACAACAAAUUUAAUAACAUAUAAACCUGAUUCUAAUACAAAUACUAGUAUGUUUCUUGUAGUAUUCCUCUGUAAAUUUGGAUGAUAAUUUGUGUGACCAUCUUGUGCCAUUUAGAGAAUGUUAAGGAGGUUUAGUAAAAUCAGGA